CAGCAGCCGCGGUAAUACGAAGGGGGCUAGCGUUGUUCGGAAUUACUGGGCGUAAAGCGCACGUAGGCGGAUAUUUAAGUCAGGGGUGAAAUCCCGCAGCUCAACUGCGGAACUGCCUUUGAUACUGGGUAUCUUGAGUAUGGAAGAGGUUAGUGGAAUUGCGAGUGUAGAGGUGAAAUUCGUAGAUAUUCGCAGGAACACCAGUGGCGAAGGCGGCUAACUGGUCCAUAACUGACGCUGAGGUGCGAAAGCGUGGGGAGCAAACAGGAUUAGAGACCCCAGUAGUCCCUGUCUCUUAUAC
This 301-nucleotide ribosomal RNA is filed under the name uncultured bacterium. RNAcentral describes it as "partial 16S ribosomal RNA". It matches the Rfam family "Bacterial small subunit ribosomal RNA", at positions 509 to 807 of the family's 1533-position model. The record is from RNAcentral.